CUCCAGAACAUGGACACAAACUGAGAGCCCCUAUCAGACACAAUAUUGUGAGGGAUGCCAUGCAAAUGGACAAUUUCACGUAUGAAAAUUAGGACCAAUUCUUGCGAAGAUGGCAACUUCUUGAGAGGAAUGAAGUGAGCCAUCUUAGAAAAUCGGUCUACAACCAUGAGAAUAGUAGUGAACCCAGCAGAGCUAGGAAGCUCAACAAUAAAGUCCAUGGAUAAGUGGGACCAUGGAAUCUCAGGAACAGGAAGAGGCUGCAACAGGCCACAAGGAAGUGCAUGAGUCACCUUAGAAAC
Molecule: non-coding RNA, 299 nt
Organism: Pelobates cultripes (western spadefoot toad)
Lineage: Eukaryota; Metazoa; Chordata; Amphibia; Anura; Pelobatidae
Source: the annotation of a GenBank genome assembly